RNAcentral lists this ribosomal RNA (125 nucleotides) under Orbimyces spectabilis. Its description in RNAcentral is "partial small subunit ribosomal RNA". It matches the Rfam family "Eukaryotic small subunit ribosomal RNA", at positions 1657 to 1779 of the family's 1831-position model. The record is from RNAcentral. Lineage: Eukaryota; Fungi; Ascomycota.
CCUUUGUACACACCGCCCGUCGCUACUACCGAUUGAAUGGCUCAGUGAGGCCUUCGGACUGGCCCAGGGAGGUCGGCAACGACCACCCAGGGCCGGAAAGUUGUCCAAACUCGGUCAUUUAGAGG